UGGCUCAGGAUGAACGCUAGCGGCAGGCCUAAUACAUGCAAGACGAACGGUAAUUCCGCAGCAAUGCGGGACUAGAGUGUCGUAAGGGUGCGUAACACGUAUGCAAUCUGCCCUCAACAGGAGGAUAGCUCCCCGAAAGGGGAAUUAACACUCCAUAAGAUGAUGAACUGGCAUCAGGUUAUCAUUAAAACUGAGGUGGUUGAGGAUGAGCAUGCGCAUGAUUAGCUAGUUGGCGGGGUAACGGCCCACCAAGGCGAUGAUCAUUAGGGGAACUGAGAGGUUGAUCCCCCACACUGGCACUGAGAUACGGGCCAGACUCCUACGGGAGGCAGCAGUAGGGAAUAUUGGGACAAUGGGUGCGAGCCUGAUCCAGCCAUGCCGCGUGCA
RNAcentral lists this ribosomal RNA (387 nucleotides) under uncultured Flavobacteriales bacterium. RNAcentral describes it as "bacterial SSU rRNA". It matches the Rfam family "Bacterial small subunit ribosomal RNA", at positions 20 to 405 of the family's 1533-position model. The record is from RNAcentral. Lineage: Bacteria; Pseudomonadati; Bacteroidota; Flavobacteriia; Flavobacteriales.